AUGUAAAUACAUAAUUAUGCAUGCUAGAAGCUCAUGUAUGACUUUUGUGAUGAUGGAAUGAUAAAUUGUUAGAUUGAUUAGCAUUGUAGUAUUGUGAUACAUGUUGAACUCGUUAAGCGAUUGACACGUGAAUAGAAGUGUGAUUAGUGAUGCGUAUGAUUACGUAUACUAACUAUUGAAUGGAUGUAAUGGAAUGAGAUAAUAGGAACGUGUCAAGGAGAGCUCAAGCAUAGGAGGAUAACGGGUCAAGAUAAGGCAAGGUGACAAAUACACUUAUUGGAGUACUCAAGGUUAUGAAUGUCGGACUUUCGAAGUGUUGAUAUAAUAAUGAAACGGUUGAAUGUUGAAAGGAUAAUCGGAUUGAAGUAACUUAUGCGGUUAGAAUAUGCUAUGGACGUUUUAGUUUAUACAACAUUUUAUGUUUGGUCGUCAUCAUCUACCAACGGGUAAAUCCUCAAUUCAGGCGACUUGGAGAAUCGGAGCGAGCGCGUGUUCAUGUUAUGUCAUACCAAACGCUUCCGCUAGCUUGUUCAAAUGUUUUUAGUCCAAAAUUUGUUGUAUUGGUUCUUAGUAGUAUUUUGUCGAAUGAAUCGUAGAAUUGUAUCUAGUUUGAUUAUGUUUAAAACAGGGGAAUGCUCGUUUUAUGGACGGGUCAUGCCCAAUUUUUGUUAAAUUAAUGCACCUGCGUUAUUGAUA
RNAcentral lists this long non-coding RNA (696 nucleotides) under Helianthus annuus (common sunflower). Lineage: Eukaryota; Viridiplantae; Streptophyta; Magnoliopsida; Asterales; Asteraceae. The record is from RNAcentral.